UACGGAGGGUGCAAGCGUUAAUCGGAAUUACUGGGCGUAAAGGGUGCGUAGGUGGUUGAAUAAGUUAGGUGUGAAAGUCCAGGGCUUAACCUUGGGAUUGCGCCUAAUACUGUUUAGCUAGAGUACUGUAGAGGAAGGUGGAAUUUCCGGUGUAGCGGUGAAAUGCGUAGAUAUCGGAAGGAACAUCGGUGGCGAAGGCGACUUUCUGGACAGAUACUGACACUGAGGCACGAAAGCGUGGGGAGCAAACAGG
This 253-nucleotide ribosomal RNA is filed under the name uncultured bacterium. RNAcentral's name for it is "partial 16S ribosomal RNA". It matches the Rfam family "Bacterial small subunit ribosomal RNA", at positions 524 to 776 of the family's 1533-position model. The record is from RNAcentral.